This 237-nucleotide unclassified non-coding RNA is filed under the name Hevea brasiliensis (rubber tree). The record is from RNAcentral. Lineage: Eukaryota; Viridiplantae; Streptophyta; Magnoliopsida; Malpighiales; Euphorbiaceae.
AUAGAAGAAGGAAUGCGUGUUGGGUAGGUUAUCUUUCUACAUUCUAAAUUAGAAUUUUCACAGCACACUGAGACUUCAGAGCAUGACUUAUGUUAUAUGGGUAUUGAUACAUGUUCUACCAUUUUGUGUCAUUUUCUUCUCCACAAUGGCCAGUGCUGUUAUUCUUCAUCCAUUUGUUUAUGUAUAUAUUUUUUUUCGUUGAUAAUAUUCGUAUGCAUUCCACUGGUUUGAUGUCCA